This 460-nucleotide ribosomal RNA is filed under the name uncultured bacterium. RNAcentral's name for it is "partial 16S ribosomal RNA". It matches the Rfam family "Bacterial small subunit ribosomal RNA", at positions 338 to 795 of the family's 1533-position model. The record is from RNAcentral.
CCUACGGGAGGCAGCAGUGAGGAAUAUUGGUCAAUGGACGAGAGACUGAACCAGCCAAGCAGCGUGAGGGAUGACUGCCCUAUGGGUCGUAAACUUCUUUUAUAUGGGACUAAAAUGUUCCACGUGUGGGAUUUUGUAUGUACCAUAUGAAUAAGCAUCGGCUAACUCCGUGCCAGCAGCCGCGGUAAUACGGAGGAUCCGAGCGUUAUCCGGAUUUAUUGGGUUUAAAGGGGGCGUAGGUGGUUUGUUAAGUCAGUAGUGAAAGUUUGCGGCUCAACCGUAAAAUUGCCGUUGAAAAUGGCAGUCUUGAGUACAGUAGAGGUAGGCGGAAUGCGUGGUGUAGCGGUGAAAUGCUUAGAUAUCACGAAGAACUCCGAUUGCGAAGGCAGUUCACUGGACUGCAACUGACACUGAGGCUCGAAAGUGUGGGUAUCGAACAGGAUUAGAUACCCUUGUAGUC